AUGCCUCACACAGAAGAGCAGUAUUAGCAUUGCUAUUAUAAUUACUAUUAUCACUAGCCAACAAAAAAUGUGCAUGUCUGCACAGUGCAGAUGAAUGCAAUCAAUAUGUGCAUCAGGAUACAACAGAUGAGAGAAUGCCAGCCCCUGCCAAAAUGACUCCACAUAUAUUGGGGAAGACGAACACCAAUAAAUCAGGAUCAGAUGUGAUGCAUGGGCAUUAGAGGCUGAAACACAGGUCUAAUGUCUGGAAAUCAAGAUCCUCCAAAACGACAUUAAUUCCAUCCUAUUACCUUCCACUUACCUUCUAUUCAUACUUCAUUUAACCUGUAUGACUGACGAAGGCAUAUUAUCAGAGUUCGCAGGCUCAGAGCAUAUAUUUAAGGUAUUACACAAAAUGGA
This is a non-coding RNA of Taeniopygia guttata (zebra finch), 399 nucleotides long. NCBI's taxonomy places the organism in Eukaryota, Metazoa, Chordata, Aves, Passeriformes, Estrildidae. The record is from RefSeq and is a predicted model, not a curated record.